AUGAACGCUGGCGGCGUGCCUAAUACAUGCAAGUCGAGCGAACAGACGAGGAGCUUGCUCCUUUGACGUUAGCGGCGGACGGGGGAGUAACACGUGGAUAACCUACCUAUAAGACUGGGAUAACUUCGGAAAACCGGAGCUAAUACCGGAUAACAUGUUGAACCGCAUGGUUCAACAGUGAAAGACGGUCUUGCUGUCACUUAUAGAUGGAUCCGCGCCGCAUUAGCUAGUUGGUAAGGUAACGGCUUACCAAGGCAACGAUGCGUAGCCGACCUGAGAGGGUGAUCGGCUACACUGGAACUGAGACACGGUCCAGACUCCUACGGGAGGCAGCAGUAGGGAAUCUUCCGCAAUGGGCGAAAGCCUGACGGAGCAACGCCGCGUGAGUGAAGAAGGUCUUCGGAUCGUAAAACUCUGUUAUUAGGGAAGAACAAAUGUGUAAGUAACUAUGCACGUCUUGACGGUACCUAAUCAGAAAGCCACGGCUAACUACGUG
Molecule: ribosomal RNA, 496 nt
Filed under: uncultured bacterium
Lineage: Bacteria
Description: partial 16S ribosomal RNA
Rfam family: Bacterial small subunit ribosomal RNA
Source: RNAcentral